RNAcentral lists this ribosomal RNA (248 nucleotides) under uncultured bacterium. RNAcentral describes it as "partial 16S ribosomal RNA". It matches the Rfam family "Bacterial small subunit ribosomal RNA", at positions 523 to 769 of the family's 1533-position model. The record is from RNAcentral.
AUACGGAGGAUCCGAGUGGUUAUCCGGAUUUAUUGGGUUUAAAGGGUGCGCAGGCGGAAGAUUAAGUCGGCGGUGAAAUUUUGCAGCUCAACUGUAAAAGUGCCUUCGAAACUGGUUUUCUUGAGUGUAGAUGAAGUAGGCGGAAUUUGUGGUGUAGCGGUGAAAUGCUUAGAUAUCACAAAGAACUCCGAUUGCGCAGGCAGCUUACUAAACUACAACUGACGCUCAGGCACGAAGGCGUGGGUAUC